GAUGAACGCUAGCGGUGUGCCUAAUGCAUGCAAGUCGAACGGGAUCCUUUGGAUUCGUCUGAAGGUGAGAGUGGCGAACGGGUGAGUAACACGUAGGUGACCUGCCCCGGAGAGGGGGACAACCACUGGAAACGGUGGCUAAUACCCCAGAUGUUAUUGCGCUUAGAAAGCAAUUACUAAAGUUCCGGCGCUCCGGGAGGGGCCUGCGGCCCAUCAGCUUGUUGGUAAGGUAAUGGCUUACCAAGGCUAAGACGGGUAGGGGGCGUGAGAGCGUGACCCCCCCACACUGGUACUGAGACACGGACCAGAUACCUGCGGGUAGCAGCAGCAAGGAAUAUUGCCCAAUGGACGAAAGUCUGAGGCAGCAACACCGCGUGGAGGAUGAAGGCCUCGGUUGUAACUACCUUUCUGGGGUAAGGAGAAAGGACGGUAACCCACGGAAUAAGUCUCGGCUAACUACGUGCCAGCAGCCGCGGU
RNAcentral lists this ribosomal RNA (477 nucleotides) under uncultured bacterium. RNAcentral's name for it is "bacterial SSU rRNA". It matches the Rfam family "Bacterial small subunit ribosomal RNA", at positions 28 to 521 of the family's 1533-position model. The record is from RNAcentral.